GCAUUGGUGGUUCAGUGGUAGAAUUCUCGCCUGCCACGUGGGGAGGCCCGGGUCGAUUCCCGGCGGCCAAUGCA
RNAcentral lists this transfer RNA (74 nucleotides) under Anguilla anguilla (European eel). RNAcentral describes it as "tRNA-Gly". It matches the Rfam family "tRNA". Rfam says of the family: Transfer RNA (tRNA) molecules are approximately 80 nucleotides in length. Lineage: Eukaryota; Metazoa; Chordata; Actinopteri; Anguilliformes; Anguillidae. The record is from RNAcentral.